GGCGAACCGGUGAGUAAUACAUAUCGAACGUGUCAAGUAGUGGGGGAUAGCCCGGCGAAAGCCGGAUUAAUACCGCAUACGACCUACGGGUGAAAGCGGGGGAUCGCAAGACCUCGCGCAAUCGGAGCGGCCGAUGUCAGAUUAGCUAGUUGGUGGGGUAAAGGCCUACCAAGGCAACGAUCUGUAGCUGGUCUGAGAGACCACCAGCCACACUGGGACUGAGACACGGCCCAGAUCCUACGGGAGGCAGCAGUGGGGAAUUUUGGACAAUGGGCGCAAGCCUGAUCCAGCCAUGCCGCGUGCGGGAAGAAGCCCUUCGGGUUGUAAACCGCUUUUGUCAGGGAAGAAACGGUCCGGGCUAAUACCUCGGACUAAUGACGGUACCUGAAGAAUAAGCACCGGCUAACUUAGUGCCAGCAGCCGCGGUAAUACGUAGGGUGCAAGCCGUUAAUCGGAAUUACUGGGCGUAAAGCGUGCGCAGGCGGCUUUGCAAGACAGAUGUGAAAUCCCCGGGCUCAACCUGGGAACUGCAUUUGUGACUGCAUCGCUAGAGUGGCCGCAGAGGGGGAUGGAAUUCCGCGUGUAGCAGUGAAAUGCGUAGAUAUGCGGAGGAACACCGAUGGCGAAGGCAAUCCC
This 636-nucleotide ribosomal RNA is filed under the name uncultured bacterium. Its description in RNAcentral is "bacterial SSU rRNA". It matches the Rfam family "Bacterial small subunit ribosomal RNA", at positions 97 to 728 of the family's 1533-position model. The record is from RNAcentral.